UUGACGGGGCCGCACAAGCGGUGGAGCAUGUGGUUUAAUUCGACGCAACGCGAAGAACCUUACCAGGCUUGACAUCCCCUGACCGCGUAUGAAAGUACGUUUUCACCCUCGGGUGACAGGGAGACAGGUGGUGCGUGGUUGUCGUCAGCUCGUGUCGUGAGAUGUUGGGUUAAGUCCCGCAACGAGCGCAACCCCUACGUUUAGUUGCUAACAGGUGAAGCUGAGCACUCUAGACGAACUGCCGUUGACAAAACGGAGGAAGGUGGGAUGACGUCAAAUCAUCAUGCCCCUUAUGUUCUGGGCUACACACGUGCUACAAUGGCCGGUACAGACGGAGGCGAAGCCGCGAGGCGGAGCAAAUCCGAAAAAGCCGGUCUCAGUUCGGAUUGCAGGCUGCAAUUCGCCUGCAUGAAGUCGGAAUCGCUAGUAAUCGCAGGUCAGCAUACUGCGGUGAAUACGUUCCCGGGCCUU
RNAcentral lists this ribosomal RNA (471 nucleotides) under uncultured Pelotomaculum sp. RNAcentral describes it as "bacterial SSU rRNA". It matches the Rfam family "Bacterial small subunit ribosomal RNA", at positions 910 to 1382 of the family's 1533-position model. Lineage: Bacteria; Bacillati; Bacillota; Clostridia; Eubacteriales; Desulfotomaculaceae. The record is from RNAcentral.